UACGGAGGGUGCGAGCGUUGUCCGGAAUCACUGGGCGUAAAGGGCGCGUAGGCGGCCUGAUAAGUAGGGGGUGAAAUCCUGCGGCUUAACCGCAGGGCUGCCUUCUAAACUGUCAGGCUUGAGCACAGUAGAGGCAGGUGGAAUCCCCGGUGUAGCGGUGGAAUGCGUAGAGAUCGGGAAGAACAUCAGUGGCGAAGGCGGCCUGCUGGGCUGUUGCUGACGCUGAGGCGCGACAGCGUGGGGAGCAAACAGG
Molecule: ribosomal RNA, 253 nt
Filed under: uncultured bacterium
Lineage: Bacteria
Description: partial 16S ribosomal RNA
Rfam family: Bacterial small subunit ribosomal RNA
Source: RNAcentral